Molecule: long non-coding RNA, 385 nt
Organism: Acomys russatus (golden spiny mouse)
Lineage: Eukaryota; Metazoa; Chordata; Mammalia; Rodentia; Muridae
Exons: 3
Source: RefSeq, a predicted model, not a curated record
UGUGGCAUGACCUAGGUGCCAGGGUAAUGUAGUCACACUGUGUGGCAUGACCUAGGUGCCAGGGUAAUGUAGUCACACUGUGUGGCAUGACCUAGGUGCCAGGGUAAUGUAGUCACACUGUGUGGCAUGACCUAGGUGCCAGGGUAAUAUAGUCACACUGUGUGGCAUGACCUAGGUGCCAGGGUAAUGUAGUAACUGUGUUUUCUGUGGAACAUUUUGCAAUAAUGAUGAAGUUCAAUUCUGAGAUGACAGAAGAAGAAAAGGAAUGAGGUUCACAGAGAAGCUUGAUCCAAACUCUAAAGAAAUGAUGGCAAAACCACAGAAGGUCAGUGUGGCUUGCAGUCACCAUGACUGGUCCACAGAAUAUUGCUGGCAUGGUAAUACU